This 765-nucleotide ribosomal RNA is filed under the name uncultured archaeon. RNAcentral's name for it is "bacterial SSU rRNA". It matches the Rfam family "Archaeal small subunit ribosomal RNA", at positions 50 to 820 of the family's 1478-position model. The record is from RNAcentral.
CAUGCGAGUCGUGAGGGUUCGGCCCUCGGCGAACGGCUCAGUAACACGUAGAUAAUUUGCCCUUAGGUGGAGGAUACCCUCGGGAAACUGAGAAUAAUACUCCAUAGAUUUAGAAUGCUGGAAUGCUUUUAAAUUGAAAGAUUUAUCGCCUAAGGAUAAGUCUGCGGGCUAUCAGGUCGUAGUUAGGGUAAAUACCUGACUAGCCUACGACGGAUACGGGUUGUGAGAGCAAUAACCCGGAGACGAUAUCUGAGACACGAUAUCGGGCCCUACGGGGCGCAGCAGGCGCGAAACCUUCACACUGUGCGAAAGCACGAUGAGGGAAUCCCAAGUGCUUGCACGUAAGUGUAAGCUGUUUUUCUGCCUAAAAAGCAGAGAGAGUAAGAGCUGGGUAAGACGGGUGCCAGCCGCCGCGGUAAUACCUGCAGCUCAAGUGGUGGCCGCUAUUAUUGGGCCUAAAACGUUCGUAGCCGGUUUGGUAAAUGCCUGGGUAAAUCGAGCCGCUUAACGGUUCGAAUUCCGGGUAGACUGCCAGACUUGAGACCGGGAGAGGCUAGAGGUACUCCUGGGGUAGAGGUGAAAUUCUGUAAUCCUGGGGGGACCACCAGUGGCGAAGGCGUCUAGCUAGAACGGGUCUGACGGUGAGGGACGAAGCCCUGGGGCGCAAACCGGAUUAGAUACCCGGGUAGUCCAGGGUGUAAACGCUGCUUGCUUGAUGUUAGUCGGGCUCUGAGCCCGAUUAGUGUCGGAGAGAAGUUGUUAAGC